GCGCUGCAUUAGCUAGUUGGUAAGGUAACGGCUUACCAAGGCAACGAUGCAUAGCCGACCUGAGAGGGUGAUCGGCCACACUGGAACUGAGACACGGUCCAGACUCCUACGGGAGGCAGCAGUAGGGAAUCUUCCGCAAUGGGCGAAAGCCUGACGGAGCAACGCCGCGUGAGUGAUGAAGGUCUUCGGAUCGUAAAACUCUGUUAUUAGGGAAGAACAUAUGUGUAAGUAACUGUGCACAUCUUGACGGUACCUAAUCAGAAAGCCACGGCUAACUACGUGCCAGCAGCCGCGGUAAUACGUAGGUGGCAAGCGUUAUCCGGAAUUAUUGGGCGUAAAGCGCGCGUAGGCGGUUUUUUAAGUCUGAUGUGAAAGCCCACGGCUCAACCGUGGAGGGUCAUUGGAAACUGGAAAACUUGAGUGCAGAAGAGGAAAGUGGAAUUCCAUGUGUAGCGGUGAAAUGCGCAGAGAUAUGGAGGAACACCAGUGGCGAAGGCGACUUUCUGGUCUGUAACUGACGCUGAUGUGCGAAAGCGUGGGGAUCAAACAGGAUUAGAUACCCUGGUAGUCCACGCCGUAAACGAUGAGUGCUAAGUGUUAGGGGGUUUCCGCCCCUUAGUGCUGCAGCUAACGCAUUAAGCACUCCGCCUGGGGAGUACGACCGCAAGGUUGAAACUCAAAGGAA
This 685-nucleotide ribosomal RNA is filed under the name Staphylococcus aureus. Its description in RNAcentral is "bacterial SSU rRNA". It matches the Rfam family "Bacterial small subunit ribosomal RNA", at positions 233 to 909 of the family's 1533-position model. The record is from RNAcentral. Lineage: Bacteria; Bacillati; Bacillota; Bacilli; Caryophanales; Staphylococcaceae.